Mytilus californianus (California mussel) is the source of this 170-nucleotide long non-coding RNA. RefSeq lists it as uncharacterized. NCBI's taxonomy places the organism in Eukaryota, Metazoa, Mollusca, Bivalvia, Mytilida, Mytilidae. The transcript has 2 exons. The record is from RefSeq and is a predicted model, not a curated record.
AGAUACAAGUGCUACACAACCCAAUGAUCCCACUGGUAACAGUAGAUUUUCUGAAUGGGAAAUAGCUGCUUCAAUAACUGGAGUUGUGGUUUUAAUGUCAGUGGUGAUAACCAUCUACUUUUGGAGACAAAGAUAUAAAAGAAACAGAUAUAACAGUAAAAGAAAUAAAG